UCUUUCACCCUCACAACCUCUCUCUUCUCUUUCCCUCAGUGCUCCCCGCUUCCCUGCACCUCGCUCUCACCCUCAUGGCUUUCCUCUUCUCUUUCCCUCAUGACUUUCCUGCACCUCUCUCUCUCAAACCCCGCAAAACAACUACCUCAACAGAUACCACCUUCCCAGCUACGACCAAGAGUACCAUAAUCAUGAAAGGGUGUUUAAGCAAAGUUACCAUUAGAUAUGAUGGAUGGGAUGGAUGAUCAACAUGCAACUUGGAUGUAAUGGUACGGAAGCAUUUCCUAAGCAAGUUAUAAGGCCGAUUACUUUUUUAGUAGAUGCUCUGGUCCUUCUUAAAAGGCUGAUGAGUACAGGUGCACGUUCAUGGUUUCCCCAUGAACAUUUUUAAAUAGAUUUAGAAGGCGAUAUUCACUUACGUCAGUUGGAAUUUGUUAGGAUUUUCUAUUUGUGCUUUAAAAUUUAACAAAGCAGGCUGCUUGAUUCUUCA
Amborella trichopoda is the source of this 490-nucleotide long non-coding RNA. RefSeq lists it as uncharacterized. The record is from RefSeq and is a predicted model, not a curated record. Lineage: Eukaryota; Viridiplantae; Streptophyta; Magnoliopsida; Amborellales; Amborellaceae.